This 60-nucleotide transfer RNA is filed under the name Ixodes cornuatus. RNAcentral describes it as "tRNA-Leu". The record is from RNAcentral. Lineage: Eukaryota; Metazoa; Arthropoda; Arachnida; Ixodida; Ixodidae.
ACUAAUUUAGCAAAAAUAAUGUAUCAAUUUUAGAAUUUGAAGAUGGAUCUCCAAUUAGUA